This 639-nucleotide ribosomal RNA is filed under the name uncultured bacterium. RNAcentral describes it as "bacterial SSU rRNA". It matches the Rfam family "Bacterial small subunit ribosomal RNA", at positions 232 to 885 of the family's 1533-position model. The record is from RNAcentral.
CGCGGCCUAUCAGCUUGUUGGUGGGGUAACGGCCUACCAAGGCAGCGACGGGUAGCUGGUUUGAGAGAACGAUCAGCCACACUGGGACUGAGACACGGCCCAGACUCCUACGGGAGGCAGCAGUAGGGAAUCUUGCGCAAUGGGCGAAAGCCUGACGCAGCAACGCCGCGUGCGGGAUGACGGCCUUCGUGGUUGUAAACCGCUUUCAGCAGGGACGAAAUUGACGGUACCUGCAGAAGAAGCCCCGGCUAACUACGUGCCAGCAGCCGCGGUAAUACGUAGGGGGCGAGCGUUGUCCGGAAUCAUUGGGCGUAAAGAGCUCGUAGGCGGUUCAGUAAGUCGGGUGUGAAAGCUCCGAGCUCGACUCGGAGAGGCCACUCGAUACUGCUGUGACUAGAAUCCAGUAGGGGAGUGUGGAACUCCUGGUGUAGCGGUGAAAUGCGCAGAUAUCAGGAAGAACACCAGCGGCGAAGGCGGCACCCUGGGCUGGUAUUGACGCUGAGGAGCGAAAGUGUGGGUAGCAAACAGGAUUAGAUACCCUGGUAGUCCACACCGUAAACGUUGGGCACUAGGUGUGGGGAGGAUCAACCCUUUCCGUGCCGUAGCUAACGCAUUAAGUGCCCCGCCUGGGGAGUACGG